AGACAUGACGGUACCUCACGAAUAAGCAUCGGCUAACUCCGUGCCAGCAGCCGCGGUAGUACGGAGGAUGCAAUCGUUAUCCGGAUUUAUCGGGUUCAAAGGGUGCGUACGCGGACCUGUAAGUCAGUGGUGAAAUCCUGCAGCUUAACUGUAGCAUUGCCAUUGAAACUGUAGGUCUUGAGUUAGGUAGAGGUAGGCGGAAUGUGUAAUGUAUCUGCGAAAUGCUUAGAUAUUACACAGAACACCGAUUGCGUAGGCAGCUUACUGGACCUUAACUGACGCUUAUGCACGAAAGCGUGGGGACCGAACAAGGAUUAGAUACCCUGGUAGUCCACGGCCGUUAACUAUCGAUUACUCAUCGUUGGCAAGACACAGUCAGCGACCAAGCGAAAGCGAUAAGAAAUCCACCUGGGGAGUACGCUCGCAAGAGUGAAACUCAAAGGAAUGACGGGGCGCCCGCACAAACGGUGGAACAUCUGACGUAAUUCGAUGAUACGCGAGGAACCUUACCUGGGCUUAAAUGUAGACUGCAUAGUGUGGAAACGCACUUUUCUAUCGAGACUGCCUACAAGGUCGCUGCAUGGUUGUCGUCAGCUCGUCCCGUGAGGUCUCGGCUUAAGUCCCAUUAACGAGCGCAACCCUUAUCGUUAGUAGCCAUCGGUUCAAGCCGGGGACUUUAGCGAAACUGCCUCCGUAAGGUGAGAGGAAGGUGGGGAUGACGUCAAAUCAGCACGGCCCUUAUGUCCAGGGCUACACAC
This 758-nucleotide ribosomal RNA is filed under the name uncultured organism. Its description in RNAcentral is "bacterial SSU rRNA". It matches the Rfam family "Bacterial small subunit ribosomal RNA", at positions 465 to 1221 of the family's 1533-position model. The record is from RNAcentral.